This is a long non-coding RNA of Acanthopagrus latus (yellowfin seabream), 368 nucleotides long. RefSeq lists it as uncharacterized. NCBI's taxonomy places the organism in Eukaryota, Metazoa, Chordata, Actinopteri, Spariformes, Sparidae. The transcript has 3 exons. The record is from RefSeq and is a predicted model, not a curated record.
AUUUUUCAGAUUGAAGAAAUCUGACGCAUCAGCAGAAAGACAGUGGUGGCGGUGGCUCAGCUUCCUGGUAUUGUGGAUACAGCAUCACCAUGGCAACCGUAGCCUUGAUCAGCUUAUUUUUCUCGUUAACAGGAGACGCAGACAUUUCCCGGGUUUUUGUGGCGACCACUUCACCGGAAGUCGGACCGUCUUGAUCUGUGAUUGUAGCAACAAAAAAAUGAGGAAGUUGGUGUAGGGCUCCGAGUUCGCUCGAGAGAAAUGAAAGCUAAGAGGAAGAGAUUAAGACGAGGUGAAAGAAUGAAGAAGAAGAUUGUUAUCACGUUACCAAAGAAAGAAGAAAAAAAAACCCCAUGAAGAUGAUGUCUGAU